RNAcentral lists this ribosomal RNA (410 nucleotides) under Acidobacteriota bacterium. Its description in RNAcentral is "Acidobacteria bacterium partial 16S ribosomal RNA". It matches the Rfam family "Bacterial small subunit ribosomal RNA", at positions 355 to 776 of the family's 1533-position model. Lineage: Bacteria; Pseudomonadati; Acidobacteriota. The record is from RNAcentral.
UCGAGAAUCAUUCACAAUGGGGGAAACCCUGAUGGUGCGACGCCGCGUGGGGGAAUGAAGGUCUUCGGAUUGUAAACCCCUGUCAUGUGGGAGCAAAUUAAAAAGAUAGUACCACAAGAGGAAGAGACGGCUAACUCUGUGCCAGCAGCCGCGGUAAUACAGAGGUCUCAAGCGUUGUUCGGAAUCACUGGGCGUAAAGCGUGCGUAGGCGGUUUCGUAAGUCGUGUGUGAAAGGCGGGGGCUCAACCCCCGGACUGCACAUGAUACUGCGAGACUAGAGUAAUGGAGGGGGAACCGGAAUUCUCGGUGUAGCAGUGAAAUGCGUAGAUAUCGAGAGGAACACUCGUGGCGAAGGCGGGUUCCUGGACAUUAACUGACGCUGAGGCACGAAGGCCAGGGGAGCGAAAGGU